Sarcophilus harrisii (Tasmanian devil) is the source of this 56-nucleotide non-coding RNA. NCBI's taxonomy places the organism in Eukaryota, Metazoa, Chordata, Mammalia, Dasyuromorphia, Dasyuridae. The record is from Rfam.
GGGAAACGGGAUGAGGGGCCCAGCCCCAGGGCCCAAGGCAAAAAAUAUGUGGGGCA